Long non-coding RNA from Gallus gallus (chicken), 369 nucleotides. The record is from Ensembl. Lineage: Eukaryota; Metazoa; Chordata; Aves; Galliformes; Phasianidae.
UGGGCUGUGGAUCUCCUCGGAUCCAUGGCACAGCGUAAAUAACUCCUCCAGGCACUGUUCCCUCCUACAGCCCUGCUUGCCUCCAGUUCCGCGUCACCAUCCCCUGCAACCUCUCCCAUUCACCACGUCUGGAUUUUAAAAUGCUCACCAAUGACAAAUCUGGAUAUGAUUUUUGGACUACCUCCCACAGCCAUCACUUUUGACGAGGAAGGAAAGUUCACUGCUUUUCCAGGGUAAAACAAGCCAAAUAUUCUUCAGGAAAUCUAGAAGUGUGUGUGGGGAGGGGGUUCUGCCCCUUCCUCCUCCAAGCCAUUUUUGCCUUAAUAUUUAGCUCCUCUCAUCGUUCAAGGACUUUAAUUAAACUUCCUU